GAAGUAUCUUGGUAUGUAAACCUCUUUUCUCAAGAAAGAAGUUCUGACGGUACUUGAGGAAUAAGCAUCGGCUAACUCCGUGCCAGCAGCCGCGGUAAUACGGAGGAUCCAAGCGUUAUCCGGAAUCAUUGGGUUUAAAGGGUCCGUAGGUGGAUAGAUAAGUCAGAGGUGAAAUCCUGCAGCUCAACUGUAGAAUUGCCUUUGAUACUGUUUAUCUUGAGUCAUUAUGAAGUGGUUAGAAUGUGUAGUGUAGCGGUGAAAUGCAUAGAUAUUACAUAGAAUACCGAUUGCGAAGGCAGAUCACUAAUAAUGUACUGACACUGAUGGACGAAAGCGUGGGGAGCGAACAGGAUUAGAUACCCUGGUAGUCCACGCCCUAAAC
Molecule: ribosomal RNA, 382 nt
Filed under: Isochrysis galbana
Lineage: Eukaryota; Haptophyta; Isochrysidales; Isochrysidaceae
Description: partial Bacterial small subunit ribosomal RNA
Rfam family: Bacterial small subunit ribosomal RNA
Source: RNAcentral